This 353-nucleotide ribosomal RNA is filed under the name Spirochaeta sp. RNAcentral describes it as "bacterial SSU rRNA". It matches the Rfam family "Bacterial small subunit ribosomal RNA", at positions 38 to 402 of the family's 1533-position model. The record is from RNAcentral. Lineage: Bacteria; Pseudomonadati; Spirochaetota; Spirochaetia; Spirochaetales; Spirochaetaceae.
GGCGGUAGUCCUUAAACAUGCAAGUCGAGCGGUGUAGCAAUACCUAGCGGCGAACGGGUGAGUAACACGUGGGUAAUCUUCCUCCGAGUCUGGGAUAACUUUCCGAAAGGAAAGCUAAUACCGGAUAGUCCUGUUGGAUCACCAGAUCUGAUAGGUAAAGAUUUAUUGCUUGGAGAUGAGCCCGCGGCCGAUUAGCUAGUUGGUGAGGUAAUGGCUCACCUAGGCGACGAUCGGUAGCCGCUCUGAGAGGGUGUCCGGCCACAAUGGAACUGAGACACGGUCCAUACUCCUACGGGAGGCAGCAGUUAAGAAUCUUGCUCAAUGGGGGAAACCCUGAAGCAGCGACGCCGCGU